GAUGAAGAACGUAGCGAAAUGCGAUACGUAAUGUGAAUUGCAGAAUUCAGUGAAUCAUCGAAUCUUUGAACGCAUAUUGCGCCUUCUGGUAUUCCGGAGGGCAUGCUUGUUUGAGUAUCAGUAACAACCUCAACUCUUCUUCAUUGCGGAGAAAGAGUUGGAUUUGAGCAUUUCCACAAGUUCGUCUUGGAGGAUUGCUUGAAAUAUGAGGUUCGGCCGGCAGUUGCCUGGGCUACAAGCAUUUCAUACUUAAUCCCGUCAAACGGAUUAUAUCCUUUGCUGCAGCCAACAUACAGGGUAACUUUGCCAGUGUUCCGACUGAUGCAGGAAAGUUGAGAACAGCUUUUUGCUUUCUCUUCUAAACUCGAUCUCAAAUCAAGUAAGACUACCCGCUGAACUUAAGCAUAUCAAUAAGCGGGGA
RNAcentral lists this unclassified non-coding RNA (421 nucleotides) under soil metagenome. RNAcentral's name for it is "partial contains 5.8S ribosomal RNA, internal transcribed spacer 2, and large subunit ribosomal RNA". The stretch from base 1 to 120 matches the Rfam family "5.8S ribosomal RNA", at positions 35 to 154 of the family's 154-position model. The record is from RNAcentral.